CAUAGCAGCGCGUGACGUAUUUAAUGUACCGGAAGUUUGGUUUUUGAUCGUGAUUGAAGAAGCUUCACUGAAGAAAAUUACAGCAAAGCUUGAUUUAAUAGGGUACAAACACAACUACAGUACUGAGGGGUAAUUGUUCGUGCAUACCUCGCCGAGAAUGAAGAGAAAAUUUCGCAGUUCAAGAGAUGACUACUUAUCCUGCACCAUAAAAGUACUUUCAUAUAACUCACAGUUGAUGGAUAACAAGGUUAAAGAGUAGUUAUAACCCAAGGAGACGAAUGUUCUAAAAAAUUGAAGCUCAAAAGACGAAUGUUCUAAAAAAUGGCAGCUCAAAAUCAGUUGUAGACGACUCAAAUCAUGUUCAAAAGUACCUAAGGUAGCAGUGUUACAUGAACACCGACUCGACUAGUA
Long non-coding RNA from Mytilus trossulus (common blue mussel), 411 nucleotides. RefSeq lists it as uncharacterized. NCBI's taxonomy places the organism in Eukaryota, Metazoa, Mollusca, Bivalvia, Mytilida, Mytilidae. The record is from RefSeq and is a predicted model, not a curated record. The transcript has 3 exons.